AACUUUCAACAAUGGAUCUCUUGGUUCCGGCAUCGAUGAAGAACGCAGCGAAAUGCGAUAAGUAAUGUGAAUUGCAGAAUUCCGUGAAUCAUCGAAUCUUUGAACGCACAUUGCGCCCCCUGGCAUUCCGGGGGGCAUGCCUGUCCGAGCGUCAUUUCUGCCCUCCAGCGCGGCUGGGUGUUGGGUGUUGUCCCCCCGGGGACAUGCCCCAAAGGCAGUGGCGGCGCCGCGUCGGGUCCUCGAGCGUAUGGGGCUCUGUCACUUGCUCGGGACGGACCUGCGGGCGUCGGUCUUCCCCAUGCAGUCUCCCGGAAGGGAGGGUGUCUUCUACGGUUGACCUCGGAUCAGGUAGGGAUACCCGCUGAACUUAAGCAUAUCAAUAAGCGGAGGAAAAGAAACCAACAGGGAUUGCCUCAGUAACGGCGAGUGAAGCGGCAAGAGCUCAAAUUUGAAAUCUGGCCCCUCCGGGGUCCGAGUUGUAAUUUGCAGAGGAUGCUUCGGGUGCGGCCCCUGUCUAAGUGCCCUGGAACGGGCCGUCAGAGAGGGUGAGAAUCCCGUCUUGGGCAGGGUGCCCGUGCCCGUGUGAAGCUCCUUCGACGAGUCGAGUUGUUUGGGAAUGCAGCUCUAAGCGGGUGGUAAAUUUCAUCUAAAGCUAAAUACUGGCCGGAGACCGAUAGCGCACAAGUAGAGUGAUCGAAAGAUGAAAAGCACUUUGAAAAGAGAGUUAAACAGCACGUGAAAUUGUUGAAAGGGAA
This 755-nucleotide unclassified non-coding RNA is filed under the name uncultured Eurotiales. Its description in RNAcentral is "sequence contains 5.8S rRNA gene, ITS2, 28S rRNA gene". The stretch from base 335 to 755 matches the Rfam family "Eukaryotic large subunit ribosomal RNA", at positions 1 to 418 of the family's 3401-position model. The record is from RNAcentral. Lineage: Eukaryota; Fungi; Ascomycota; Eurotiomycetes; Eurotiales.